UAGCCGUAAGUCGUAACAAGGUAGCCGUAAGUCGUAACAAGGUAACCGUAAGUCGUAACAAGGUAGCCGUAGAGUUUGAUCAUGGCUCAGGAAAGUAGUAACAAGGUAGCCGUAAGUCGUAACAAGGUAACCGUAGAGUUUGAUCAUGACUCAGGAAGUAAAGUCGUAACAAGGUAGCCGUAGAGUUUGAUCCUGGCUCAGCCUUCGACUUAAAAAAAUGGAGAAGUCGUAACAAGGUAACCGUAAGUCGUAACAUGGUAGCCGUAGAGUUUGAUCAUGGCUCAGGUGAAGUCGUAACAAGGUAACCGUAGAGUUUGAUCAUGGCUCAGGAAAGUCGUAACAA
Molecule: ribosomal RNA, 343 nt
Filed under: uncultured bacterium
Lineage: Bacteria
Description: partial 16S ribosomal RNA
Source: RNAcentral